UACGUAGGUGACAAGCGUUGUCCGGAUUUACUGGGCGUAAAGAGCGCGCAGGCGGUCGUUCAAGUCGAGUGUGAAAGCCCCCGGCUCAACUGGGGAGGGUCACUCGAUACUGAUCGACUCGAAGGCAGGAGAGGGUAGUGGAAUUCCCGGUGUAGUGGUGAAAUGCGUAGAUAUCUGGAGGAACACCGGUGGCGAAGGCGGCGUUCUGGACUGUUUCUGACACUGAAUAACGAAAGCCAGGGGAGCAAACGGG
This 253-nucleotide ribosomal RNA is filed under the name uncultured bacterium. RNAcentral describes it as "partial 16S ribosomal RNA". It matches the Rfam family "Bacterial small subunit ribosomal RNA", at positions 524 to 776 of the family's 1533-position model. The record is from RNAcentral.